GUGACCAGGGCCACCACGUGAUAGAAAGAAAAGAUGCUCCUGAAAUUCUCAGUGUUCAUCCUUUGGAUUCAAUUGGCAUGGGAGAGCACCCAGCAGCUGGAGCAGAGUCCUCGGUUUCUAAGCAUCCAGGAGGGAGAAAAUUUCACAGUGUACUGCAACUCCUCAAGCAUUUUUGCCAGCUUUCAAGGGUACAAACAGGAGACUGGGGAAGGUCCUGUCCUCUUAAUGACAUUAACUAAGGGUGGAGGAAUGAAGGAGCAGAAGAGACUAAGGGCUCAAUUUGGUAAGGAAAGAAAGGACAGCUCCCUGCUCAUCACUGCAGCCCACCCUGGGGAUGCAGGCAUCUACCUCUGCGCAGGGGCACAGUGCUCCUGGGGUGCCGGCUGCCUGCACCCAAACCCUGCUGCAGGCCCCCACUCACACUGCUGCCACAUUCCUCCAGCUCCUCCUCACACACCUCUUGGCAUGAAUAGUGAUAACAACCCCAGCCCCUCGUGGAACCCUUUCUGAUGCUUUUCCAAAAAAUUUCCCACAUACACUGAAGAACAAGACCCCUCCGUUACAAGACAACCUUCUGGAAAUGUAGCUCACUGUUAGAACCAGAAACAAUAGGUGUCUAGAGCUCUCCAGUGUAGACAGUGGGGUGAUGAAGAGAGUUGAUGUGGAGGGACACAUGGAAGAUAUUA
This is a non-coding RNA of Diceros bicornis minor, 686 nucleotides long. Lineage: Eukaryota; Metazoa; Chordata; Mammalia; Perissodactyla; Rhinocerotidae. The record is from the annotation of a RefSeq genome assembly.